This 306-nucleotide ribosomal RNA is filed under the name uncultured bacterium. Its description in RNAcentral is "partial 16S ribosomal RNA". It matches the Rfam family "Bacterial small subunit ribosomal RNA", at positions 507 to 807 of the family's 1533-position model. The record is from RNAcentral.
GACAGCAGCCGCCGCGGUAAUACGGAGGGUGCAAGCGUUAAUCGGAAUUACUGGGCGUAAAGCGUGCGUAGGCGGCUUUUUAAGUCGGAUGUGAAAUCCCUGAGCUUAACUUAGGAAUUGCAUUCGAUACUGGGAAGCUAGAGUAUGGGAGAGGAUGGUAGAAUUCCAGGUGUAGCGGUGAAAUGCGUAGAGAUCUGGAGGAAUACCGAUGGCGAAGGCAGCCAUCUGGCCUAAUACUGACGCUGAGGUACGAAAGCAUGGGGAGCAAACAGGAUUAGAUACCCGCGUAGUCCCUGUCUCUUAUAC